This 1099-nucleotide long non-coding RNA is filed under the name Cyanistes caeruleus (blue tit). Its description in RNAcentral is "lncRNA (ENSCCEG00000017590.1)". Lineage: Eukaryota; Metazoa; Chordata; Aves; Passeriformes; Paridae. The record is from RNAcentral.
UGUACAGGAUUAUGGAGUUGUCCCUGUUGAAUUGCACAGACUUCCUGCUGCUGCAUUACUCCAGUUUGGAUGGAUGGUUCUGCGCCUAGAUGGUGACCCAGUGAUCCAUGGAGCACUUUGCUUUCAUCCACAGACUGCAUGAGUGUGAAUUCCAUCUCUUCCAGACCAAUGAUGAAGAUACACUCAGGACUCAGUAUAGACCCUUAAAGAACAUAAUUUGUAACCACCUCCAAGUAUGAACCAUCAGCUCCAUGAUCUCACCAGUGUUCAGUGCACUACCUGUCCAUCCAGACAUGAACCAUCAGCUCCAUGAUCUCACCAGUGUUCAGUGCACUACCUGUCCAUCCAGACCACAACAUCGCAACCUGGGUUCUGCUUCUGCUGGAAAUAUUUAAGGGUGCCUGUGAAGUGAAAAAUUGAGAAUUUAUGUUACCUGCACUACAUUUUGAAAAUGUCCUAGAAAUUCUCUCUCCUGGCUAUAGGGUGUACAGAAAAUUUCCCCUUUGAUGUAUGUUUUUGUCUCCAAAUCACACUGCUUAAGGUUUCCUUUAAUAUUUUUUCAUGAAAACAUAAAAUGCAAAAUAAUCUCUCUGCAAACAAGCCUUUAAUGACUCUUCUCCUAGCUUCAAUAUUUUUAAGAGAUGCUGUUUGUAUCCUUCUUUCCCCAGCCUCAUUGCUUCAAGUCCAAAUGCAUGUUUCCUGUUAAGUCCUCCUGUAUAAAUGGAGUCUCCAGUGGUCCUCUUGCUUUGAGAAGACUGUAAUACCAUCCUUGCUGAUGUAUGGCUUAUUCCACAACUAAAUGGUUGGUUAUUAACAUAAGAGUUCCAUGCUAAAUCUGGGAUUUAUAAGUUCUACCAAUGGAUUUCCAAAAUCAUCAUGAUUUUAUGAACAAAGAGAAAGACAGGAACAUUUUAUCAGCUCAAAAUGACUAGCUAAUGCCUAGUAGCCAUACAUGUCAUAGCACAUCUUUUUUACAAUCAACUGGAAAUUAUUAGAUGCUUUUAAUAACAACUGUCUAUAUACAAUAGCUAAAACAUCCUAAUGGACAGAGUUAGAUUUUUUUCCUUCCUUGCUUUCAUCAAAUUGAAAUGAAUGAAAG